RNAcentral lists this unclassified non-coding RNA (222 nucleotides) under air metagenome. Its description in RNAcentral is "partial contains small subunit ribosomal RNA, internal transcribed spacer 1, and 5.8S ribosomal RNA". The stretch from base 1 to 46 matches the Rfam family "Eukaryotic small subunit ribosomal RNA", at positions 1786 to 1831 of the family's 1831-position model. The record is from RNAcentral.
AAGUCGUAACAAGGUCUCCGUUGGUGAACCAGCGGAGGGAUCAUUAUAGAGUUAUACAACGCUCAAAACCCUUUGUAAACCCUUUACCUUAGUUGCUUCGGCGGCGCCCUCCAGGGGGAUGCCCGCCGGCAGUAUACCGAAUCUCUGUUUUCGAACCCGACGUAACGUCUGAGUGUUCUAAGCGAACUGUUAAAACUUUCAGCAACGGAUCUCUUGGCUCCA